This is a small nucleolar RNA of Nycticebus coucang (slow loris), 129 nucleotides long. RefSeq annotates it as small nucleolar RNA SNORA11. The transcript has a single exon. The record is from RefSeq and is a predicted model, not a curated record. NCBI's taxonomy places the organism in Eukaryota, Metazoa, Chordata, Mammalia, Primates, Lorisidae.
GGGGUGUGCUCAGAGCAGGGUCCUGAAGAAUGGCUCCUCUGUUUAUAACACACCCAGUAGGAAUCUGGGGUCACUGCGAGGAAAGGAAAAAAAACUUGUAGCCUCCCUAUGAAUAAAUUCCCUACAUGU